RNAcentral lists this long non-coding RNA (656 nucleotides) under Elaeis guineensis (African oil palm). RNAcentral's name for it is "long non-coding RNA (EGUI_LNC005338)". The record is from RNAcentral. Lineage: Eukaryota; Viridiplantae; Streptophyta; Magnoliopsida; Arecales; Arecaceae.
GUGCGGGCUGGUGUUCUCCCGCUGGUGUUCUUGUGCGGGCUGGUGUUCUCCCGCUGGUGUUCUUCCUGGCCUUCUCUCGCUGGUGUUCUGUUGGUGUUCUACCUGUUUUCUUCCUUCUCGAUUUCACGGAUGCCCUGUGCUGAUGACCGAACGCUUCUUCGGUUGGUAAGGAGGUAUUCAUCUUGAUUUUUUGUCGAGGAUUGAGAAAGAUAUCUUCACCUCAGGUAUUAUCUUACCUUGAUCUNNNNNNNNNNNNNNNNNNNNAUUGCCGAGGCUGAGAUUGGUAUAUCCGAUUGGAUCUUUGUUGCCUUCUUUUCGAUACUCUGUUGCCUUCUUGUUGGCUUCGGUUAAGGGUAUUUUAUACCUCAUAUUGUACCUAUUUUUCAGGACGGAUUUAUAGUGGAUUGCUCCUCCUCCCCGUGGAUGUAGGUCUCUUGUGCCGAACCACGUAAAUCUUGAUUUCUUUGUCUUUGUUUAUUUAUGCCUGCAAUGUGUUUGGUGAAUUGUCUCAAAGAGAUUAGACUUUAGAUCAAAAGCCUAGGUCGAUCCAAUCCGAUGCGCGUGAUCUCAACAACAGCUUUGUCUCCGAUGUGAGGGGGCGAGCAUGCAGUCUCACUGGCUAAAUCUGCUUGUUCAAGUCUUUUCAACAUGGCAAC